GAUGAACGCUGGCGGCGUGCCUAAUACAUGCAAGUCGAGCGAACAGACGAGGAGCUUGCUCCUCUGACGUUAGCGGCGGACGGGUGAGUAACACGUGGAUAACCUACCUAUAAGACUGGGAUAACUUCGGGAAACCGGAGCUAAUACCGGAUAAUAUAUUGAACCGCAUGGUUCAAUAGUGAAAGACGGUUUUGCUGUCACUUAUAGAUGGAUCCGCGCCGCAUUAGCUAGUUGGUAAGGUAACGGCUUACCAAGGCGACGAUGCGUAGCCGACCUGAGAGGGUGAUCGGCCACACUGGAACUGAGACACGGUCCAGACUCCUACGGGAGGCAGCAGUAGGGAAUCUUCCGCAAUGGGCGAAAGCCUGACGGAGCAACGCCGCGUGAGUGAUGAAGGUCUUCGGAUCGUAAAACUAUGUUAUUAGGGAAGAACAAAUGUGUAAGUACCUAUGCACGUCUUGACGGUACCUAAUCAGAAAGCCACGGCUAACUACGUG
RNAcentral lists this ribosomal RNA (497 nucleotides) under uncultured bacterium. Its description in RNAcentral is "partial 16S ribosomal RNA". It matches the Rfam family "Bacterial small subunit ribosomal RNA", at positions 28 to 507 of the family's 1533-position model. The record is from RNAcentral.